GACAGAGGUGCCAAGCGUUAGGCGGAAUCACUGGGCUUAAAGCGUGUGUAGGCGGAAUGGUAAGUACCUUGUGAAAUCCCACGGCUCAACCGUGGAACUGCUUGGUAUACUGCUUUUCUUGAGCCACUUAGGGGCAACCGGAACAAACGGUGGAGCGGUGAAAUGCGUAGAUAUCGAUCGGAACACCCAUGGCGAAGGCAGCUCGCUGGCCUGCAACUGACGCUGAGGCGCGAAAGCGUGGGGAGCAAACAGG
This 253-nucleotide ribosomal RNA is filed under the name uncultured bacterium. RNAcentral describes it as "partial 16S ribosomal RNA". It matches the Rfam family "Bacterial small subunit ribosomal RNA", at positions 524 to 776 of the family's 1533-position model. The record is from RNAcentral.